CCUACGGGUGGCACCAGUGGGGAAUUUUGGACAAUGGGCGAAAGCCUGAUCCAGCAAUGCCGCGUGUGUGAAGAAGGCCUUCGGGUUGUAAAGCACUUUUGUCCGGAAAGAAAUCCUUGGCUCUAAUACAGUCGGGGGAUGACGGUACCGGAAGAAUAAGCACCGGCUAACUACGUGCCAGCAGCCGCGGUAAUACGUAGGGUGCAAGCGUUAAUCGGAAUUACUGGGCGUAAAGCGUGCGCAGGCGGUUUGCUAAGACCGAUGUGAAAUCCCCGGGCUCAACCUGGGAACUGCAUUGGUGACUGGCAGGCUAGAGUAUGGCAGAGGGGGGUAGAAUUCCACGUGUAGCAGUGAAAUGCGUAGAGAUGUGGAGGAAUACCGAUGGCGAAGGCAGCCCCCUGGGCCAAUACUGACGCUCAUGCACGAAAGCGUGGGGAGCAAACAGGAUUAGAUACCCUCGUAGUC
This 465-nucleotide ribosomal RNA is filed under the name uncultured bacterium. Its description in RNAcentral is "bacterial SSU rRNA". It matches the Rfam family "Bacterial small subunit ribosomal RNA", at positions 338 to 795 of the family's 1533-position model. The record is from RNAcentral.